AUUGAACGCUGGCGGCAGGCCUAACACAUGCAAGUCGAACGAGUGGCGGACGGGUGAGUAAUGUCUGGGAAAGUGACUGAUGGAGGGGGAUAACUACUGGAAACGGUAGCUAAUACCGCAUACCCUCGGGAGUGCCCAUAGGGGUUUAGCUAGUAGGUGGGGUAAAGGCUCACCUGGGAGACGAUCCCUAGCGGGUCUGAGAGGCUGACCAGCCACACUGGAACUGAGACACGGUCCAGACUCCUACGGGAGGCAGCAGUGGGGAAUAUUGCACAAUGGGCGCAAGCCUGAUGCAGCCAUGCCGCGUGUAUGAAGAAGGCCUUCGGGUUGUAAAGUACUUUCAGCGGGGAGGCGUUACCCGCAGAAGAAGCACCGGCUAACUCCGUGCCAGCCGCCGCGGUAAUUC
Molecule: ribosomal RNA, 406 nt
Filed under: uncultured bacterium
Lineage: Bacteria
Description: partial 16S ribosomal RNA
Rfam family: Bacterial small subunit ribosomal RNA
Source: RNAcentral